RNAcentral lists this microRNA (23 nucleotides) under Mus musculus (house mouse). RNAcentral's name for it is "mmu-miR-6913-3p". Lineage: Eukaryota; Metazoa; Chordata; Mammalia; Rodentia; Muridae. The record is from miRBase by way of RNAcentral.
UCUCUACUGAUUUGUCUCCUCAG